This 507-nucleotide long non-coding RNA is filed under the name Homo sapiens (human). Its description in RNAcentral is "long independently transcribed non-coding RNA 1386 (LINC01386)". Lineage: Eukaryota; Metazoa; Chordata; Mammalia; Primates; Hominidae. The record is from RNAcentral.
CUUGCUUUUCUAAAGAUAUUUUCAUAAAAGUUAAUAAGAACAGAAACAAAAAAAUCAGUAUGAGGAAAAGAAGCAAAAUUUCCAGUUCCUAGAGAUCCUCACCUCCUCUGGAUUUUCACAUCCUCCAGCUGGUCCAGCAUGAGCUCUGGAGGCUAAGGAAAGGCAAUGCAGUAGCAGAAACAAGCUGGGCUGGCAUUUCUGUGCAGUUUGUUCAGCACGCUGAAUGGGAAGCGCAGGGUAACAGUGAGAGCACGAAUCAAAGUUUAUCACCUGUGGGGUUUCAGCUCCUGUAUCACUGGGUUAGGUUUUGAGAAUGCUGAGGUGAAGAUGACAUGGAGCCUGCCUUCAAAUAGAUCACACUUUAGCAGAGGAGAUAGUGUGACUUGUAGACAGCUGCAUCCCUAGAGUUACUUUAGAGAGCCCUGUCGUUCCCAAGCAGAGAGAUUUGUCUGCACAGCCAGCCUCUGGGUGAAGUACAAAUGCAAAAUAAAUAAAUGCCUUCUUCUA